AUUGAACGCUGGCGGCAGGCCUAACACAUGCAAGUCGAACGGUAACAGGAAGAAGCUUGCUUCUUUGCUGACGAGUGGCGGACGGGUGAGUAAUGUCUGGGAAACUGCCUGAUGGAGGGGGAUAACUACUGGAAACGGUAGCUAAUACCGCAUAACGUCGCAAGACCAAAGAGGGGGACCUUCGGGCCUCUUGCCAUCGGAUGUGCCCAGAUGGGAUUAGCUAGUAGGUGGGGUAACGGCUCACCUAGGCGACGAUCCCUAGCUGGUCUGAGAGGAUGACCAGCCACACUGGAACUGAGACACGGUCCGGACUCCUACGGGAGGCAGCAGUGGGGAAUAUUGCACAAUGGGCGCAAGCCUGAUGCAGCCAUGCCGCGUGUAUGAAGAAGGCCUUCGGGUUGUAAAGUACUUUCAGCGGGGAGGAAGGGAGUAAAGUUAAUACCUUUGCUCAUUGACGUUACCCGCAGAAGAAGCACCGGCUAACUCCGUG
RNAcentral lists this ribosomal RNA (490 nucleotides) under uncultured bacterium. RNAcentral describes it as "partial 16S ribosomal RNA". It matches the Rfam family "Bacterial small subunit ribosomal RNA", at positions 30 to 507 of the family's 1533-position model. The record is from RNAcentral.